AACAACUGCGCAAGAUUUUAACUUUCUCCACUUGCCUUCGUUUCAGUCAGGGGCUGCUCUCAACAACCUGCCAAUAGGCAGAGCUGGGGUUUAUUAUUUAGUUGUUUGUGUAUGAAACCCUUGGCUCCCCAGGUAUUCACAGGUUCCCCCACAGCUGCAGAGAGAAUCACAUUAGUCAAGAGUAUUGCUUUUCCAAAGGCCCUUCCUGUGACAACCCCCUUUGGUGGAUAAGGAAGCACUGGGGAUGUGGUGUCUGUAAAGAGUUCUGUGGAGACUUUCCUCCCAGUCAUGGGCAAAUUCUGUAGGCAGGGGUAAAGAGGAUCUGUAGGUGAUACAGCGUUUAGCAGUACAUAUCACUAAGUGCUGCUAAAGAAAAUGGGCUUUGGUGAACGUCGGUUUCCAGGCAUUCCUAAAGGAAAAGAAUCCCAGGAGAGUCGGAAGCAUACACAAGACCUAAUAAUCGCUAUAAUGAGUGUCUUCUUGAUAAUCUCCCUCCUACUCAUUCCGGGCUGCAGUUUCCUUUCUUACAAACUGAUGACAAAGGACAACACGACUUUGAAGAAAGAAGUGAAAUCUAUCACCAUCCAGUCUCACUUGCAUCAUGUUGAAACGAGGAUUGUCCUAUCUCCUUCCCAGCCUAUGCAAUUAGCUGCCCCCCAACAGAGGAGCUCCCAAGGAACCUCCCUCAUACAAACAUCACCGAUUUAUAAACAGCCUGGCGAUGUGCCACCGCUACGACCAGCCUCCAAUGUAUCUGCUGUCAGUUUUGCAUACACUGACCCUAGCACUGUUUUCUCAGCACCCAUACAAACAUCACCGAUUUAUAAACAGCCUGGCGAUGUGCCACCGCUACGACCAGCCUCCAAUGUAUCUGCUGUCAGUUUUGCAUACACUGACCCUAGCACUGUUUUCUCAGCACCCAGGAACCGUACUCCGGAAAGUUUUCUUUCUAACCUCUCAAAGUCAGGAAGCCUUUUUUCUAUGGAACAACAUGAUCUCUUUUAUGGGUCUUCCAGGAGUUCUUCCAGAGGGUCCAUGGACAACCCUGGAUACAAAUAUGAAGAUGGAGAAGGAAGCGGUGAUUCUGGGAGCAGCAUUUGUCCCAUUCAUGUGACAGACGAUCUACCUUUCACCAGACAUUAAUUAUAUUUAGGGUGACCAGAUCACUGACAGGAAAUAUCGAGACCGGGGGGGAGCAAAAAAAAACAAAAAACAAACAAACAAAAAAAGUAAAAAAAAAAAAAAAAAAAAAAAGCCGUUUUGCAGGUGCCGGGGGAAUUAGCAGGCCGCGGCCCCGCCCCCCCUGAGGGCCCCGGGCACAUGCGACACGU
Molecule: long non-coding RNA, 1331 nt
Filed under: Chrysemys picta bellii (western painted turtle)
Lineage: Eukaryota; Metazoa; Chordata; Testudines; Emydidae
Description: lncRNA (ENSCPBG00000016965.1)
Source: RNAcentral